AUUGAACGCUGGCGGCAUACCUUACACAUGCAAGUCGAACGGUAACGGGCCUUCGGGUGCCGACGAGUGGCGAACGGGUGAGUAAUACAUCGGAACGUGCCCGAUCGUGGGGGAUAACGAGGCGAAAGCUUUGCUAAUACCGCAUACGAUCUACGGAUGAAACCAGGGGACCGCAAGGCCUUGCGCGGACUGAGCGGCCGAUGGCAGAUUAGGUAGUUGGUGUGAUAAAAGCUUACCAAGCCGACGAUCUGUAGCUGGUCUGAGAGGAUGAUCAGCCACACUGGGACUGAGACACGGCCCAGACUCCUACGGGAGGCAGCAGUGGGGAAUUUUGGACAAUGGGCGCAAGCCUGAUCCAGCCAUGCCGCGUGCAGGAUGAAGGCCUUCGGGUUGUAAACUGCUUUUGUACGGAACGAAAAGCCUUCUUUUAAUACAGGAGGGUCAUGACGGUACCGUAAGAAUAAGCACCGGCUAACUACGUG
This 482-nucleotide ribosomal RNA is filed under the name uncultured bacterium. RNAcentral describes it as "partial 16S ribosomal RNA". It matches the Rfam family "Bacterial small subunit ribosomal RNA", at positions 30 to 507 of the family's 1533-position model. The record is from RNAcentral.